RNAcentral lists this transfer RNA (72 nucleotides) under Urocitellus parryii (Arctic ground squirrel). RNAcentral's name for it is "Spermophilus parryii (Arctic ground squirrel) tRNA". It matches the Rfam family "tRNA". From Rfam's summary of the family: Transfer RNA (tRNA) molecules are approximately 80 nucleotides in length. Their secondary structure includes four short double-helical elements and three loops (D, anti-codon, and T loops). Further hydrogen bonds mediate the characteristic L-shaped molecular structure. tRNAs have two regions of fundamental functional importance: the anti-codon, which is responsible for specific mRNA codon recognition, and the 3' end, to which the tRNAs corresponding amino acid is attached (by aminoacyl-tRNA synthetases). tRNAs cope with the degeneracy of the genetic code in two manners: having more than one tRNA (with a specific anti-codon) for a particular amino acid; and 'wobble' base-pairing, i.e. permitting non-standard base-pairing at the 3rd anti-codon position. Lineage: Eukaryota; Metazoa; Chordata; Mammalia; Rodentia; Sciuridae. RNAcentral also lists the same sequence under 1 other name. The record is from Rfam by way of RNAcentral.
GGGGUUGUAGCUCAGUAGUUGAGUGCUUGCCUUGCAUGCAUGAGGCACUGGGUUCAAUCCUCAGCACCCAUA